RNAcentral lists this ribosomal RNA (350 nucleotides) under Herbaspirillum sp. VA29. Its description in RNAcentral is "bacterial SSU rRNA". It matches the Rfam family "Bacterial small subunit ribosomal RNA", at positions 1032 to 1388 of the family's 1533-position model. Lineage: Bacteria; Pseudomonadati; Pseudomonadota; Betaproteobacteria; Burkholderiales; Oxalobacteraceae. The record is from RNAcentral.
ACACAGGUGCUGCAUGGCUGUCGUCAGCUCGUGUCGUGAGAUGUUGGGUUAAGUCCCGCAACGAGCGCAACCCUUGUCAUUAGUUGCUACGAAAGGGCACUCUAAUGAGACUGCCGGUGACAAACCGGAGGAAGGUGGGGAUGACGUCAAGUCCUCAUGGCCCUUAUGGGUAGGGCUUCACACGUCAUACAAUGGUACAUACAGAGGGCCGCCAACCCGCGAGGGGGAGCUAAUCCCAGAAAGUGUAUCGUAGUCCGGAUUGGAGUCUGCAACUCGACUCCAUGAAGUUGGAAUCGCUAGUAAUCGCGGAUCAGCAUGUCGCGGUGAAUACGUUCCCGGGUCUUGUACAC